RNAcentral lists this unclassified non-coding RNA (358 nucleotides) under Hevea brasiliensis (rubber tree). Lineage: Eukaryota; Viridiplantae; Streptophyta; Magnoliopsida; Malpighiales; Euphorbiaceae. The record is from RNAcentral.
GCAUUAGGAGUCCAUCCAGGUCGAGUUGGAGCGAAGAAAGGUUGCAUCAGAAUUGCUGUCUGGGGACUUUACACCGGCCGUGUAGUGAUACACGCCCCAUGUAAAUUUCUGACACUUCAUUCAGUCCAGAGAGUUACAUGAGGCAAGUUAUACGGCCUGUGUACUGCUUCUGGCCUUGUAUUUUUCACGUUUUGACCUCCACAUCUCUUUCAAACUCAUCUUUGAUUUUAGAACCACAUAAAACACCUGAUAAAAUAUAAAAAUCAAUGAAUUGAGUCGGAUUAACAUGCUUUCUAAAAUAAUAAUGAAAAAAUAUAAAAAUAAACAUAAAAGAAUACUAAAUGCUAACAAAAUGCAA